Molecule: ribosomal RNA, 478 nt
Filed under: Neomenia carinata
Lineage: Eukaryota; Metazoa; Mollusca; Solenogastres; Neomeniamorpha; Neomeniidae
Description: partial 28S ribosomal RNA
Rfam family: Eukaryotic large subunit ribosomal RNA
Source: RNAcentral
AUCGGCCGCGCGAGCGCGAUCCGGGAGCCUGCCGUUCGUACGCCGGCGGCGGGCCGCCCGGCGCAGCGCCGCCCGGCCCAAUUCUCCGUUGCGCGUAGCGCGCGAAUCGUCAGUGCGGGGCGCGCGCUGCCAGCGCGCUUCGGAACGGGUCGAGGCGAGAGCGCGACCGUCGCUACCCGAAAGAUGGUGAUCUAUUCCCGAGAAGGGCGAAGCCGGGGGAAACCCCGGUGGAGGCCCGUAGCGGUUCUGACGUGCAAAUCGAUCGCGCUACUCGGGUAUAGGGGCGAAAGACUCAUCGAACCAUCUAGUAGCUGGUUCCCUCCGAAGUUUCCCUCAGGAUAGCCGGCGCGCGAGUCGUUGCACACGCAUACAAAGCUGUCGCGCGGCCAUACGAGCCGCGGCUUUUUCGGUAAAGCGAACGACUAGAGGAAAUUCCGGGGCCACGCCGACCUCGACCUAUUAUCGAACUUUAAAUGGG